RNAcentral lists this ribosomal RNA (1689 nucleotides) under Shigella sonnei. RNAcentral describes it as "partial 23S ribosomal RNA". It matches the Rfam family "Bacterial large subunit ribosomal RNA", at positions 965 to 2638 of the family's 2925-position model. The record is from RNAcentral. Lineage: Bacteria; Pseudomonadati; Pseudomonadota; Gammaproteobacteria; Enterobacterales; Enterobacteriaceae.
GAGAAUGUUAUCACGGGAGACACACGGCGGGUGCUAACGUCCGUCGUGAAGAGGGAAACAACCCAGACCGCCAGCUAAGGUCCCAAAGUCAUGGUUAAGUGGGAAACGAUGUGGGAAGGCCCAGACAGCCAGGAUGUUGGCUUAGAAGCAGCCAUCAUUUAAAGAAAGCGUAAUAGCUCACUGGUCGAGUCGGCCUGCGCGGAAGAUGUAACGGGGCUAAACCAUGCACCGAAGCUGCGGCAGCGAUGCUUAUGCGUUGUUGGGUAGGGGAGCGUUCUGUAAGCCUGCGAAGGUGUGCUGUGAGGCAUGCUGGAGGUAUCAGAAGUGCGAAUGCUGACAUAAGUAACGAUAAAGCGGGUGAAAAGCCCGCUCGCCGGAAGACCAAGGGUUCCUGUCCAACGUUAAUCGGGGCAGGGUGAGUCGACCCCUAAGGCGAGGCCGAAAGGCGUAGUCGAUGGGAAACAGGUUAAUAUUCCUGUACUUGGUGUUACUGCGAAGGGGGGACGGAGAAGGCUAUGUUGGCCGGGCGACGGUUGUCCCGGUUUAAGCGUGUAGGCUGGUUUUCCAGGCAAAUCCGGAAAAUCAAGGCUGAGGCGUGAUGACGAGGCACUACGGUGCUGAAGCAACAAAUGCCCUGCUUCCAGGAAAAGCCUCUAAGCAUCAGGUAACAUCAAAUCGUACCCCAAACCGACACAGGUGGUCAGGUAGAGAAUACCAAGGCGCUUGAGAGAACUCGGGUGAAGGAACUAGGCAAAAUGGUGCCGUAACUUCGGGAGAAGGCACGCUGAUAUGUAGGUGAAGUCCCUUGCGGAUGGAGCUGAAAUCAGUCGAAGAUACCAGCUGGCUGCAACUGUUUAUUAAAAACACAGCACUGUGCAAACACGAAAGUGGACGUAUACGGUGUGACGCCUGCCCGGUGCCGGAAGGUUAAUUGAUGGGGUCAGCGCAAGCGAAGCUCUUGAUCGAAGCCCCGGUAAACGGCGGCCGUAACUAUAACGGUCCUAAGGUAGCGAAAUUCCUUGUCGGGUAAGUUCCGACCUGCACGAAUGGCGUAAUGAUGGCCAGGCUGUCUCCACCCGAGACUCAGUGAAAUUGAACUCGCUGUGAAGAUGCAGUGUACCCGCGGCAAGACGGAAAGACCCCGUGAACCUUUACUAUAGCUUGACACUGAACAUUGAGCCUUGAUGUGUAGGAUAGGUGGGAGGCUUUGAAGUGUGGACGCCAGUCUGCAUGGAGCCGGCCUUGAAAUACCACCCUUUAAUGUUUGAUGUUCUAACGUGGACCCGUGAUCCGGGUUGCGGACAGUGUCUGGUGGGUAGUUUGACUGGGGCGGUCUCCUCCUAAAGAGUAACGGAGGAGCACGAAGGUUGGCUAAUCCUGGUCGGACAUCAGGAGGUUAGUGCAAUGGCAUAAGCCAGCUUGACUGCGAGCGUGACGGCGCGAGCAGGUGCGAAAGCAGGUCAUAGUGAUCCGGUGGUUCUGAAUGGAAGGGCCAUCGCUCAACGGAUAAAAGGUACUCCGGGGAUAACAGGCUGAUACCGCCCAAGAGUUCAUAUCGACGGCGGUGUUUGGCACCUCGAUGUCGGCUCAUCACAUCCUGGGGCUGAAGUAGGUCCCAAGGGUAUGGCUGUUCGCCAUUUAAAGUGGUACGCGAGCUGGGUUUAGAACGUCGUGAGACAGUUCGGUCCC